Molecule: ribosomal RNA, 230 nt
Filed under: Hydromonas duriensis
Lineage: Bacteria; Pseudomonadati; Pseudomonadota; Betaproteobacteria; Burkholderiales; Burkholderiaceae
Source: RNAcentral
CCUGACGACCAUAGCAAGUUGGUACCACUCCUUCCCAUCCCGAACAGGACAGUGAAACGACUUAGCGCCAAUGAUAGUGCGGAUUCCCGUGUGAAAGUAGGUCAUCGUCAGGCUUUAUAUAUCAAAAACCCCCAGCUCUUUGAGUUGGGGGUUUUUUAUUGACUUCAUCAUGUAUUCUCAUUCAAUAGGAAAAAUAUAUAAAAUCUUAUUGGCAUACCUCUCAGGCUAAA